Molecule: ribosomal RNA, 253 nt
Filed under: uncultured bacterium
Lineage: Bacteria
Description: partial 16S ribosomal RNA
Rfam family: Bacterial small subunit ribosomal RNA
Source: RNAcentral
UACGUAGGUCCCGAGCGUUGUCCGGAAUUACUGGGUGUAAAGGGUGCGCAGGCGGCCUUGUGCGUCAGAAGUGAAAUAUCACGGCUUAACCGUGAGGGUGCUUUUGAAACGGCGAGGCUUGAGUACGGGAGAGGAUGAUGGAAUUCCUGGUGUAGCAGUGAAAUGCGUAGAUAUCAGGAGGAACACCGGUGGCGAAGGCGGUCAUCUGGCCCGGUACUGACGCUGAGACGCGAAAGCGUGGGGAGCGAACAGG